GACGAACGCUGGCGGCGUGCUUAACACAUGCAAGUCGAACGGAAAGGCCCUGCUUGCAGGGUACUCGAGUGGCGAACGGGUGAGUAACACGUGGGUGAUCUGCCCUGCACUUCGGGAUAAGCCUGGGAAACUGUGUCUAAUACCGGAUAGGAGCCAUUUUUAGUGUGAUGGUUGGAAAGUUUUUUCGGUGUAGGAUGAGCUCGCGGCCUAUCAGCUUGUUGGUGGGGUAAUUGCCUACCAAGGCGGCGACGGGUAGCCGGCCUGAGAGGGUGGACGGCCACAGUGGGACUGGGAUACGGCCCAGACGCCUACGGGGGGCAGCAGUGGGGAAUAUUGCACAAUGGGCGCAAGCCUGAUGCAGCGACGCCGCGUGGGGGAUGACGGCCUUCGGGUUGGAAACUCCUUUCGCUAGGGACGAAGCUUUUUGUGACGGUACCUAGAUAAGAAGCACCGGCUAACUACGUG
RNAcentral lists this ribosomal RNA (465 nucleotides) under uncultured bacterium. Its description in RNAcentral is "partial 16S ribosomal RNA". It matches the Rfam family "Bacterial small subunit ribosomal RNA", at positions 28 to 507 of the family's 1533-position model. The record is from RNAcentral.